AUGUGGGCUGAUCCCAUCCUUCCGGGUCUACUACUCAAGAACCUCCCCUACGGCGAGACCUUCUUCGGCCACCCCACUGGACGAGCCACCGAUGGCCGCCUUGUGCUGGACUUCAUCGCCGAGGCUUUGGGUCUGCCUUUCGUGCCGCCGUACCUCGCCAAGGGGAGCAACUUCUCCGCCGGAGUCAACUUCGCCGUGGCAGGAGCGCCGGCUCUAACCCUGACAUACCUGCAGGGACAAAAUUUGACCGUGACGAACCCUCCGAUCAACAGCUCCCUCCACGAUCAGCUCGAGUGGUUCCAGAAACUGAAGCCUUCGCUCUGCAAGGAACAAGGUGCUGAUUGCUUCGGGGGCUCCCUGUUUAUCAUGGGAGAGUUUGGGUCAAAUGACUACAGGAACAUCCUUAUGUCCAACAGGACGGUUGAACAAGCCUUAAUUUAUGUUCCUCUAAUUGACAGCAUCGCCACAGGCGUAGAGAAACUGAUCCAGCAAGGCGCCAAGUACAUCGUUGUGGCAGACGUCUUCCCGACUGGCUGCAUACCGCCAAUUCUCAAAAUGCUCGCUAGCCCAAAUAAAAUGGAGUACGAUCGGCAUGGAUGCCUGAAGAGUGGGAACAGGCUGGGACGCUCCCAGAACUCUCUCCUCCGCCAACGGAUCAAGAUGCUUCGGCACAAGUAUCCACAUACGAAGAUCAUUGCCACCGAGUACUACAGACCCAUCCUAGCUUUUCUAGAUAUGCCAGGGCAUUUUGGACUGAACAACAGCACAACUCUCCUCACCUGUUGUGGUGCAGGAGGCCCUCCAUAUAACUACGACUUCAACACAGGGUGCGGCCUCCCGGGUGUGAAGGCGUGCACAGAUCCAUCUCAGGCGCUUCAGUGGGAUGGUUUCCACCUAACAGAGUCUGCCUAUAGGGCCAUCGCCGAUGGGUGGCUCCAUGGCCCCUAUGCGGAUCCAACGAUAAUGGACAUUGCACGCUAA
RNAcentral lists this ribosomal RNA (981 nucleotides) under Triticum aestivum (bread wheat). Its description in RNAcentral is "partial small subunit ribosomal RNA". The record is from RNAcentral. Lineage: Eukaryota; Viridiplantae; Streptophyta; Magnoliopsida; Poales; Poaceae.